This 68-nucleotide transfer RNA is filed under the name uncultured Butyrivibrio sp. It matches the Rfam family "tRNA". From Rfam's summary of the family: Transfer RNA (tRNA) molecules are approximately 80 nucleotides in length. Lineage: Bacteria; Bacillati; Bacillota; Clostridia; Lachnospirales; Lachnospiraceae. The record is from RNAcentral.
UGGAAUAGCUCAGUUGGUAGAGCAACUGAUUCGUAAUCAGUAGGUCGUGGGUUCGAGUCCCAUUUUCA